GCGGUGUUUUCAUUGCCCUGUUAUGGUUUACUGACAGUCUUGUAGUGAGUGAGGUAAUACUUUGUAGGUAACUUGGCACUCGAGGCCAAAAAGUUAUUUGGAAAAGCACUCACCACCAUCGCAAAAAAAAAAAAAAAAAAAAAAUCCUAACAAACAACAAAACAAUAAAACGAACACCCCAACGCCCCCCCCCCCCCCCCCCCCGAUAAAAACAAAACAAAACAACAUCUGAAUUACAUUCACGAAAACACGUGCUUUCUAACGUAAAACUAUAACGAUUUAUUAGAUUCCAAUGAAAUGAUUUUAAAGACUACACACUAUACUCAGGGCUCGACGUUAGUGGUAGCCUGGGCUCUUUUGGCUACCAAUAUCUCCCCCGGAAACCGGAAACAACAAAAGCAGUGGAAGCACUACUGAUGCUAAAUAAAACGAACAUUGAACAGUUAAAUUAUCUAUUUCGCAACGCUCAUGCCAUCACCAAAUAUGCCAGGCCGUUUACCGAUUACGUUUGGCAGUGUAAACUGGACACGAUGAAAGCUUUUAAGAUCAACGGGGCAUAUCUGACAGAUAAAUAUUGUAAAACAUUUUCACGAUUCAUAUCGGAGGCUGAACGUAUCAACGUUGAACAUGAAGUGAAAUCAGCGCCAUUCAUGUCACUCCUGUGCGACGGAACAACCGACACUUCAGUUACAGAAGCAGAGAUCGUCUACGUUCGGUAUGCUAGUAAAGGGAAAGUGAACACAAAGUUCAUCAGUGUUGAAAACCUUGCUGCUGAAAGAGCCAUUGCAGAGACCAUAGAGAAAGUACUAUUCACGAGUUGUGAAAAACAGUUGAAACUCUUUGAAGGUCAGGUUGUUUCGAAGCUUAUUGGAUUUGGAAGUGAUGGGGCCUUUGUAAUGCAAGGUGUUAAAAAUGGAGUGGCAGCUAGAUUGAAAGUGAAACAACCAGCUUUUGUAGCUAUCCACUGUUUCGCACAUAGACUGUAAUUGGCUUUUAAAGAUAUGCUGAAAAAGGUUCCAUAUCACAGUAAAUUCUUGGAGGUGAUCGAAGGGUUGUAUUUAUUCUUCCACUACAUUACGCUGAACAGGAGCAACUUAAAUCGUACAGCCGAGUCAUUGAAUGUAAAAUGCCUAGCCCCAUCCCGAGCCGGAGGAACAAGAUGGAUGCCAUACACCAAAAAAACAACACUAGAACGAAUCUGGAAGAUGCACGCUGUUUUCAUCUUGUUGUUUGGUCAGAUGCAGCAAGACAGUCAAACAUCUGGCAAAAUUAAAAACAAGGCUUUGUUUUUCUUGAAAAAUCUACGAACAAAGCACUUCAUAACAUAUGGCCAUCACCUGACAGAUAUCAUCAACAUCUUGAGUACAGUGUCCCUCACCUUUCAAGCAACAAAGUGCUCAGUGUCGGAGAUCCAUGAAAGCGUCCAAAGUACUGUCUCUGUCCUUACCAGACUUAAAGGAAGACCAGGACCCAAGCUUCAGAAAGUACUCGAUAUUGACAGUUUUCAAGGCGAGAUGCUUACAGGUCAAGUAAUCUCAGAGAAAGAAAGGGUGCUGGUGGUGGACAGUCUUUUGGAGAGCCUUGACCAUCGUUAGGAAACAUGGUCACAAGUGAUGGUCUCCAGUCCGUCAAUGUCAUCAAAUGUCUUCCUUUUAGCCAAAAACAUUGACUUGAAGUCCAGCCAUUCUGAUAAGGUUUCGGAGAAGAUCACGUGAAAACACUAGUGGAACAUUACUAUGAUCAGCUGACCAUGCAUGCUUCACUUGAUGACAUCCACCCUGAAUGGAUGCUUUUGAAGGAUGGUGUAUACAGCAGGUAUAUAACCACAGAAAGGACCCAAAAGCUAAGCUGGAUUCUAGUGAACCUCCACCAUGGGGAGAAGUUUUCUAAUGUCUUGACCCUUGUGGACCUGCUGUUGACGAUCCCAGCUCACAGUUCCGACUGUGAGAGAGGUUUCUCUCACAUGAAGAAGAUCAAAUCCGACUGGAGGAGUUCUCUGUCACCAGACUCUGUAACUGACCCAAUGAGAAUUACCCUGCUAUCACCACCAGUGGAGGAGUAUGACCCAACAGCAGCCAUGGAUUUGUGGUUCAUGGGGUAGGAGAGAGGAGCAGACGGCCAUAUGUCAGUGUUACACAGCAGGAAUCUUCCGACAGUGACAGUGACACUAACACUGAUAGUGACUAAUCACACAGACUGAGAGUGACUUUUACAUGUUCUUGUAAAUGUUUUCAUAAAUGUAUACCGGCCUCGGUGGCGUCGUGGCAGGCCAUCGGUCUACAGGCUGGUAGGUACUGGGUUCGGAUUCCAGUCAAGGCAUGGGAUUUUGAAUCAAGAUACCCACUCCAAACCCUGAGUGAG
Molecule: unclassified non-coding RNA, 2361 nt
Filed under: Gigantopelta aegis
Lineage: Eukaryota; Metazoa; Mollusca; Gastropoda; Neomphalida; Peltospiridae
Description: uncharacterized LOC121380612, transcript variant X1
Source: RNAcentral